Molecule: microRNA precursor, 64 nt
Filed under: Oryza sativa (Asian cultivated rice)
Lineage: Eukaryota; Viridiplantae; Streptophyta; Magnoliopsida; Poales; Poaceae
Description: miR5802 stem-loop (osa-MIR5802)
Source: miRBase by way of RNAcentral
AGGGAUAUGGACUGUACUUUGUAAAGCGGACUCUUUCCCCUAUAUAAGGAGGGUUCGUGUGCCU